This is a long non-coding RNA of Bombina bombina (fire-bellied toad), 200 nucleotides long. RefSeq lists it as uncharacterized. The transcript has 2 exons. Lineage: Eukaryota; Metazoa; Chordata; Amphibia; Anura; Bombinatoridae. The record is from RefSeq and is a predicted model, not a curated record.
CGCAGACGCAUAAACAACCUCUGCAUGUAUUGUGCUUCAAAUGCACAUACUGUAAGAGAGUGUCCUAUCUUACAAAGGCAGAAGAAACUGGGAUCUACACCAGCAAAUCAGUGAAGCCAUCAUCGACUCUGGGGCACAUUCUUCCUAUAUUGAUUCUGUUUUUGUCACUAUAAAUAAAAUACCCACUGUGUUGAAAGCAA